RNAcentral lists this ribosomal RNA (531 nucleotides) under Clonostachys rosea. RNAcentral's name for it is "eukaryotic LSU rRNA". The stretch from base 163 to 316 matches the Rfam family "5.8S ribosomal RNA". Lineage: Eukaryota; Fungi; Ascomycota; Sordariomycetes; Hypocreales; Bionectriaceae. The record is from RNAcentral.
CAUUACCGAGUUUACAACUCCCAAACCCAUGUGAACAUACCUACUGUUGCUUCGGCGGGAUUGCCCCGGGCGCCUCGUGUGCCCCGGAUCAGGCGCCCGCCUAGGAAACUUAAUUCUUGUUUUAUUUUGGAAUCUUCUGAGUAGUUUUUACAAAUAAAUAAAAACUUUCAACAACGGAUCUCUUGGUUCUGGCAUCGAUGAAGAACGCAGCGAAAUGCGAUAAGUAAUGUGAAUUGCAGAAUUCAGUGAAUCAUCGAAUCUUUGAACGCACAUUGCGCCCGCCAGUAUUCUGGCGGGCAUGCCUGUCUGAGCGUCAUUUCAACCCUCAUGCCCCUAGGGCGUGGUGUUGGGGAUCGGCCAAAGCCCGCGAGGGACGGCCGGCCCCUAAAUCUAGUGGCGGACCCGUCGUGGCCUCCUCUGCGAAGUAGUGAUAUUCCGCAUCGGAGAGCGACGAGCCCCUGCCGUUAAACCCCCAACUUUCCAAGGUUGACCUCAGAUCAGGUAGGAAUACCCGCUGAACUUAAGCAUAUC